RNAcentral lists this ribosomal RNA (214 nucleotides) under uncultured bacterium. RNAcentral's name for it is "partial 16S ribosomal RNA". It matches the Rfam family "Bacterial small subunit ribosomal RNA", at positions 1287 to 1500 of the family's 1533-position model. The record is from RNAcentral.
CGUAGUCCGGAUUGCAGUCUGCAACUCGACUGCAUGAAGUCGGAAUCGCUAGUAAUCGCGGAUCAGCAUGCCGCGGUGAAUACGUUCCCGGGUCUUGUACACACCGCCCGUCAAACAAUGGGAGUGGUGUUUACCAGAAGUCGUUAGCCUAACCGCAAGGAGGGCGGCGACCACGGUGAGCACCGUGACUAAUGUUAAGUCGUAACAAGGUACC